GGGUUGUGAGGUUAAGCGACUAAGCGUACACGGUGGAUGCCCUGGCAGUCAGAGGCGAUGAAGGACGUGCUAAUCUGCGAAAAGCGUCGGUAAGGUGAUAUGAACCGUUACAGCCGGCGAUGUCCGAAUGGGGAAACCCAGUGCAAUUCGUUGCACUAUCGUUAACUGAAUACAUAGGUUAACGAGGCGAACCGGGGGAACUGAAACAUCUAAGUACCCCGAGGAAAAGAAAUCAACCGAGAUUCCCCCAGUAGCGGCGAGCGAACGGGGAGCAGCCCGGAGUCUGAAUCAGCUUGUGUGUUAGUGGAAGCGUCUGGAAAGUCGCAGGGUACAGGGUGAUACUCCCGUACACUAAAACACACAGGUUGUGAACUCGAAGAGUAGGGCGGGACACGUGGUAUCCUGUCUGAAUAUGGGGGGACCAUCCUCCAAGGCUAAAUACUCCUGACUGACCGAUAGUGAACCAGUACCGUGAGGGAAAGGCGAAAAGAACCCCGGCGAGGGGAGUGAAAAAGAACCUGAAACCGUGUACGUACAAGCAGUAGGAGCCCACUAGUUGGGUGACUGCGUACCUUUUGUAUAAUGGGUCAGCGACUUAUAUUCUGUAGCAAGGUUAACCGUAUAGGGGAGCCGCAGGGAAACCGAGUCUUAACUGGGCGUUAAGUUGCAGGGUAUAGACCCGAAACCCGGUGAUCUAGCCAUGGGCAGGUUGAAGGUUGGGUAACACUAACUGGAGGACCGAACCGACUAAUGUUGAAAAAUUAGCGGAUGACUUGUGGCUGGGGGUGAAAGGCCAAUCAAACCGGGAGAUAGCUGGUUCUCCCCGAAAGCUAUUUAGGUAGCGCCUCGUGAAUUCAUCUUCGGGGGUAGAGCACUGUUUCGGCUAGGGGGUCAUCCCGACUUACCAACCCGAUGCAAACUACGAAUACCGAAGAAUGUUAUCACGGGAGACACACGGCGGGUGCUAACGUCCGUCGUGAAGAGGGAAACAACCCAGACCGCCAGCUAAGGUCCCAAAGUCAUGGUUAAGUGGGAAACGAUGUGGGAAGGCCCAGACAGCCAGGAUGUUGGCUUAGAAGCAGCCAUCAUUUAAAGAAAGCGUAAUAGCUCACUGGUCGAGUCGGCCUGCGCGGAAGAUGUAACGGGGCUAAACCAUGCACCGAAGCUGCGGCAGCGACACUAUGUGUUGUUGGGUAGGGGAGCGUUCUGUAAGCCGUUGAAGGUGGCCUGUGAGGGUUGCUGGAGGUAUCAGAAGUGCGAAUGCUGACAUAAGUAACGAUAAUGCGGGUGAAAAACCCGCACGCCGGAAGACCAAGGGUUCCUGUCCAACGUUAAUCGGGGCAGGGUGAGUCGACCCCUAAGGCGAGGCCGAAAGGCGUAGUCGAUGGGAAACAGGUUAAUAUUCCUGUACUUGGUGUUACUGCGAAGGGGGGACGGAGAAGGCUAUGUUGGCCGGGCGACGGUUGUCCCGGUUUAAGCAUGUAGGCGGAUGUUCCAGGUAAAUCCGGAACGUCACUAACGCUGAGGUGUGAUGACGAGGCACUACGGUGCUGAAGUGACAAAUGCCCUGCUUCCAGGAAAAGCCUCUAAGCAUCAGGUAACAUCAAAUCGUACCCCAAACCGACACAGGUGGUCAGGUAGAGAAUACCAAGGCGCUUGAGAGAACUCGGGUGAAGGAACUAGGCAAAAUGGUGCCGUAACUUCGGGAGAAGGCACGCUGAUGGUAAGUGAAGUGACUUGCUCAUGGAGCUGAAAUCAGUCGAAGAUACCAGCUGGCUGCAACUGUUUAUUAAAAACACAGCACUGUGCAAACACGAAAGUGGACGUAUACGGUGUGACGCCUGCCCGGUGCCGGAAGGUUAAUUGAUGGGGUUAUCCUCGCGGAGAAGCUCUUGAUCGAAGCCCCGGUAAACGGCGGCCGUAACUAUAACGGUCCUAAGGUAGCGAAAUUCCUUGUCGGGUAAGUUCCGACCUGCACGAAUGGCGUAAUGAUGGCCAGGCUGUCUCCACCCGAGACUCAGUGAAAUUGAACUCGCUGUGAAGAUGCAGUGUACCCGCGGCAAGACGGAAAGACCCCGUGAACCUUUACUAUAGCUUGACACUGAACACUGGUCCUUGAUGUGUAGGAUAGGUGGGAGGCUUUGAAGUGUGGACGCCAGUCUGCAUGGAGCCAUCCUUGAAAUACCACCCUUUAAUGGCUGGUGUUCUAACGUGGGCCCGUGAUCCGGGUUGCGGACAGUGUCUGGUGGGUAGUUUGACUGGGGCGGUCUCCUCCUAAAGAGUAACGGAGGAGCACGAAGGUCAGCUAAUCCUGGUCGGACAUCAGGAGGUUAGUGCAAUGGCAUAAGCUGGCUUGACUGCGAGCGUGACGGCGCGAGCAGGUGCGAAAGCAGGUCAUAGUGAUCCGGUGGUUCUGAAUGGAAGGGCCAUCGCUCAACGGAUAAAAGGUACUCCGGGGAUAACAGGCUGAUACCGCCCAAGAGUUCAUAUCGACGGCGGUGUUUGGCACCUCGAUGUCGGCUCAUCACAUCCUGGGGCUGAAGUAGGUCCCAAGGGUAUGGCUGUUCGCCAUUUAAAGUGGUACGCGAGCUGGGUUUAGAACGUCGUGAGACAGUUCGGUCCCUAUCUGCCGUGGGCGCUGGAGAAUUGAGGGGGGCUGCUCCUAGUACGAGAGGACCGGAGUGGACGCAUCACUGGUGUUCGGGUUGUCAUGCCAAUGGCAUUGCCCGGUAGCUAAAUGCGGAAGAGAUAAGUGCUGAAAGCAUCUAAGCACGAAACUUGCCCCGAGAUGAGUUCUCCCUGACUCCUUGAGAGUCCUGAAGGAACGUUGAAGACGACGACGUUGAUAGGCCGGGUGUGUAAGCGCAGCGAUGCGUUGAGCUAACCGGUACUAAUGAACCGUGAGGCUUAACCUUACAACGCCGAAG
RNAcentral lists this ribosomal RNA (2927 nucleotides) under Klebsiella oxytoca. RNAcentral describes it as "23S ribosomal RNA". It matches the Rfam family "Bacterial large subunit ribosomal RNA". The record is from RNAcentral. Lineage: Bacteria; Pseudomonadati; Pseudomonadota; Gammaproteobacteria; Enterobacterales; Enterobacteriaceae.